RNAcentral lists this ribosomal RNA (424 nucleotides) under uncultured prokaryote. RNAcentral's name for it is "bacterial SSU rRNA". It matches the Rfam family "Bacterial small subunit ribosomal RNA", at positions 355 to 796 of the family's 1533-position model. The record is from RNAcentral.
UGGGGAAUUUUGGACAAUGGGGGCAACCCUGAUCCAGCCAUGCCGCGUGAGUGACGAAGGCCUUAGGGUUGUAAAGCUCUUUCACCCGUGAAGAUGAUGACGGUACCGCCGGAAGAAGCCCCGGCUAACUCCGUGCCAGCAGCCGCGGUAAGACGGAGGGGGCAAGCGUUGUCCGGACUCACUGGGCGUAAAGGGCGCGCAGGCGGGACGGAGCGUCGGCGCUGAAAGCGCCCGGCUUAACCGGGCGAGGCGCGUCGAUACGACCGACCUCGAGGCAGGCAGAGGGUGGCGGAAUUCCGGGUGUAGUGGUGAAAUGCGUAGAGAUCCGGAGGAACGCCUGUGGCGCAAGCGGCCACCUGGGCCUGACCUGACGCUGAGGCGCGAAAGCGUGGGGAGCGAACCGGAUUAGAUACCCGCGUAGUCC